ACAUGCGCGUGAGUGAGAAGCUCGGGUUGUAAGCCUUUGUCAGGAAGAACCCGGCCUAACCAGUCCGGAUGAGGUACCUGAAGAUAACACGGCUACUACGUGCCACACCGCGGUAAUACGUAGGGUGCGAGCGUUAAUCGGAAUUACUGGGCGUAAAGCGUGCGCAGGCGGUUAUACAAGACAGGCGUGAAAUCCCCGGGCUUAACCUGGGAAUGGCGCCUGUGACUGUAUAGCUAGAGUGUGUCAGAGGGGGGUAGAAUUCCACGUGUAGCAGUGAACAUGCGUAGAAAUAUGUAGGACGGCNNAAUACCAAUGGGGCG
RNAcentral lists this ribosomal RNA (320 nucleotides) under uncultured bacterium. RNAcentral describes it as "bacterial SSU rRNA". It matches the Rfam family "Bacterial small subunit ribosomal RNA", at positions 393 to 726 of the family's 1533-position model. The record is from RNAcentral.